GGGCUUGACAUCCCACGAACCUGCCCGAAAAGGUGGGGUGCCCGCAAGGGAGCGUGGAGACAGGUGGUGCAUGGCUGUCGUCAGCUCGUGUCGUGAGAUGUUGGGUUAAGUCCCGCAACGAGCGCAACCCUCACCCCUAGUUGCCACCGGGUUAAGCCGAGCACUCAAGGGGAACUGCCAGCGUCAAGCUGGAGGAAGGCGGGGAUGACGUCAAGUCAUCAUGCCCCUUACGCCCUGGGCUACGCACGUGCUACAAUGGCCAGUACAAAGGGACGCGAGACUGCGAAGUGGAGCUAAUCCCAAAAAGCUGGUCUAAGUUCAGAUUGCAGUCUGCAACUCGACUGCAUGAAGGAGGAAUCGCUAGUAAUCGCGCAUCAGCCCGGCGCGGUGAAUACGUUCCCGGGCCUUGUACACACCGCCCGUCACACCACGAAAGCUGUCUGUACUCGAAGUCGCUGAG
This 460-nucleotide ribosomal RNA is filed under the name uncultured Methylomirabilota bacterium. RNAcentral describes it as "bacterial SSU rRNA". It matches the Rfam family "Bacterial small subunit ribosomal RNA", at positions 977 to 1434 of the family's 1533-position model. Lineage: Bacteria; Methylomirabilota (SeqCode). The record is from RNAcentral.